This 292-nucleotide ribosomal RNA is filed under the name uncultured bacterium. RNAcentral describes it as "partial 16S ribosomal RNA". It matches the Rfam family "Bacterial small subunit ribosomal RNA", at positions 505 to 796 of the family's 1533-position model. The record is from RNAcentral.
GUGCCAGCAGCCGCGGUAAUACAGAGGUCUCAAGCGUUGUUCGGAUUUACUGGGCGUAAAGGGUGCGUAGGCUGUUUUGUAAGUCUGAUGUGAAAUUUUGUGGCUCAACUACAAAAGCGCAUUGGAAACUACAAAGCUAGAGGACUGGAGGGGAAGUCGGAAUUCUCGGUGUAGCAGUGAAAUGCGUAGAUAUCGAGAGGAACACCAGUGGCGAAGGCGGACUUCUAGACAGUUCCUGACGCUGAAGCACGAAAGCUAGGGGAGCAAACAGGAUUAGAAACCCUGGUAGUCC